AUCUUUAAGGUGAGAAUCCUUGACAAUCCUGUGGGGCUUAUAUCUUUAUCUCUGAGGAGUUCUUUAUCGCUAUAGUAGUAGAGAGAACUAUUUACGGUGGACGGUCUACUGAAUGCUUGAAUGCGUAAGAGAAUAAAGUAUUAGUGCAGACGUUAAAAUCAGGA
Molecule: non-coding RNA, 164 nt
Filed under: unclassified sequences
Source: RNAcentral